GGGACGAACGCUGGCGGCGUGCUUAACACAUGCAAGUCGUGGGCACCAGCAAUGGUGACCGGCGAACGGGUGCGUAACACGUAAGCGACCUACCGAUUUGAGGGGGAUAGCCGGCCCAACGGCCGGGUAAUACCGCAUACGCCAGGCGAGCUUCAUGGCUUGCUUGGGAAACCUCAGGGGCAAAUCGAGGGCUUGCGGCCUAUCAGCUAGUUGGCGGGGUAAUGGCCCACCAAGGCUACGACGGGUAGCUGGU
Molecule: ribosomal RNA, 253 nt
Filed under: uncultured bacterium
Lineage: Bacteria
Description: partial small subunit ribosomal RNA
Rfam family: Bacterial small subunit ribosomal RNA
Source: RNAcentral